Molecule: RNA transcript, 5396 nt
Organism: Zonotrichia leucophrys gambelii
Lineage: Eukaryota; Metazoa; Chordata; Aves; Passeriformes; Passerellidae
Gene: PROM1
Gene name: prominin 1
Exons: 29
Source: RefSeq, a predicted model, not a curated record
GCGGGCUCAGCCUGUCCCGCUCGGCUCCGCGGCAGCGGCACACAACCUAUCCCGAUUUGCACUCCGCUCGCCCAGCACAUCCCGCCGGGGUUAAACCCCUCACGCUCCUCCUCUUCCUCCCCCCACCAUCCAUCCCGGCCUGUCGGGGUGGUCCUGCAGCCCCGGCCCGGGGCAGAGCCCGCCCUCCGUAAUCCAUGCGCGGGCGGCACCGCCACCACGGCUGCCGCGGCGCUCUGAGGCGGAGCGGGCUGCGCUGUGCUGGCCGUGCCCCGCCGUCUCCGGCUCGCUGGCCCCUUUCGACCGAUACAGAUGCGCCGGUAAAGAAACUACCACAUCUGUCGGUAUUCCAGGAGAGGCAGAGCUGCGGUACCCGCGCUCCUCUGCAGUUUGCAGAUAAGGACAGCCUGUUAGAGGAAGAGGUUUCUGCUGUAGAUGUGCGCUGUCAUUUUCACAAGGGGCUGCUGUUCCACUCUGAAGUAAAAAUACAUUGAAGAAUUGCAGGUGUGAGAGUGCACCAGCACUGUCCUGGCUGGAAAGCCACUCCUCAAGUGAAUGUAUUGAAGAUUUCUAGACUUGGUUGGACAAAUACCUCUACCUCCAGUUUUAUGAAUACUGCUCGCUAUGGCUGGGGAACUCUGUUUGCUGCUGCUGCUGUUUUGUGGAAGUACAAUUUCAGAGGUACAGCCUAUAUACAAACCACCUCCUGGAACUUUGGAUUUUGGAUUUGUACCAGCCAAGACCUAUGAUACAGGUGCAUACCAUGAACCUGGGGCAAUAGGAAUUUUGUUUAAAAUAGUACAUGCAUUCCUGUACUUAGUGCAGCCAAAUACUUUUCCUCAAGAUCUCAUCAGAAAACUAGCACAGCAGCAGUUUGGAAAUACACAGGGCGAUUAUCAAAAGCCAGAAAAUGUUGUCCUGACUCUUCAGGCCAUCUACUAUGAAAUCGGUUUUAUAGUCUCCGCAGCCUUGGGAUUGCUAUUUAUUUUGUUACUGCCUCUUGUGGGACUUUGCUUCUGUAUGUGUCGUUGCUGUGACAACUGUGGUGGGGAAAUGCAUCAAAGACAGAAGAAAAAUGCUGACUGUCAGAGGAGCUGUUUUGCAACAUUUCUUUUUGUUGCUUCUUUAAUAAUAAGUGUUGGAGUGCUCUGUGCAUAUGCUGCCAACCAGCAUUUAACUAACCAAGUCCGAGGAGCAAAGAAACUGGUUAACAGUAAUUUUAAAGAUCUGAAAAUUUUCCUUAACGACACUCCAGCGCAAAUUGACUACUUGGUGAACCAGUACAACACAACUAAGGAUAAAGCAUUGUCUGACCUAAAUAAUGUUGGACCUGUGCUUGGAAGCAGAGUUCAAGAACAGCUGGGGAAAGAAGUGCGUCCUGCACUCGAUGCAGCUCUGACAAUGGCAGGAGCCAUCAGAGAAACAAAGGAAGCACUAGAAAAUGUGAGUGUCUCUGUAGAGGUUCUGCAGGAGGGAACAGAGAGACUUCAUGCAAACCUGACAGAUGUUAAAAUGCACCUGAGCAACACCCUCAAUGACUCUGCGUGCAAUGCGGCUCAGGCUGCCUCAACCUGCAACAUCAUCAGGAAUUCAUUAGCUCAGCUGAACAUCAAUGCCAAUUUUAGUGGGUUGCCAGGUGUGAGCUCGCAGCUUGCAAAGAUCAAUGAUGUCCUUAAAAUAGACCUUUCUAGUCUGGUUCAAAAGGGUUAUGCAGCAUUUAAUGAUACUCCAGACUUGGUAGUGAAUCAAACCAGGAACAUUUUAUCAGACAUCAAAAGUGUGCUGGAAUCCAUUGGUUCAAAUAUUACUACCUUCACAAGAGCACUCCCUGUUCAGAAGAUUUUGGCAGAUUUGAUGGUGCAUCUUACACAGAGUGAGGCAUAUGUUCAGGAUUAUUUUCCUCUAGUGGAGCAGUAUGAUUUCUACAGAUGGCUGGGUUGUCUCAUUCUUUGCUGCAUGUUGGUCCUGAUUCUGGUCUUUUAUUACCUUGGAUUGCUGUGUGGCACCUGUGGGUAUGAUAAACAUGCUUCUCCAACAACCAGAGGCUGUAUCUCCAACACUGGAGGAAACUUUCUUAUGGCUGGUGUUGGAUUCAGUUUUCUUUUCUCCUGGGUGCUGAUGAUUGUAGUGGUGCUCACUUUUGUCACAGGUGGAAAUGUAGAAAAAUUGGUCUGUGAGCCCUUUGAAGAUAAAAAUUUAUUCAAGGUUUUGGAUACACCUUACUUACUAAAUAAGCACUGGAAAAACUAUCUUGCUGGCAUCAUCUUUAAAAAUCCGAAUGUUAACUUGACUUUUGAAAAAGUGUACAGUGAUUGCAAGGAAAACAAAGGAAUUUACACUUCCCUUCACCUAGAAUAUCUAUUUAAUAUCAAUGAGCUUUUAAAUAUUAGUAUGUAUACAGAAGAUGUAGCUCUUAAAAUUGAACAUAUUCAGAUAAACCUCAGCAAAAUCAUUCUGCUGGAUGAAAUUGGGAAGGAGAAUCUUCUGAAUUUCAGCUCUUCGGGAAUAGAUGGGAUAGACUUUUCAGCAUAUUUGACAGAGAUCAAUAAAAGUGUUACCAAGGUUGAUCUUCUCUCAUUUGCUAAUGAUUUAGAAGCAAGAGCAGAUCAGCUGCCAAAAGGAGCCCUGGAAAACGCCUUAAAAGGACACGCAAACAACAUUCGAAUGAUUCAUAACCAGCAAGUUGUUCCACUGGAGCAAGCUAUGACUGUCAAGAAAUAUGUUAAAGCUAGGAGCACUUUAAAUCAGAGCAUUAGGUUACUGAAGAGGACAUCAUCUGAGCUUAUGGUUAAGGUGAAAAAUGUCAUUAGUGCUGUUAAUGCUGCCCAGGAUCUCAUAAAUAACAAUGCUUCUCAAGUUAUUGUCCAGGAGACAAAAAAGUACAUGGAUACCAUAAUUGGCUACUUUGAGCAGUACACUGAGUGGGUCAAGGAGUCGAUCUCAAUGGAAGUAGCAGCAUGCAAGCCUAUUGCCAAUGUGAUAGAUACAGCAGUAGAUAUUUUUUUAUGCAGCUAUAUAGCUGAUUCUGUGAAUACCUUCUGGUUCGGUUUGGGAGGCUCUUCGAUGUUUCUAAUUCCUGCCAUAAUUUUUGCUGUAAAACUCUCUAAAUACUAUCGGAGGAUGGAUACAGAGGAUGUUUAUGAUGAUUCCUCUGUCUCAGGGACUUGGCAUUUUACUUUAUGAUAACUAUUCUUACGUAUUUUCCUGUCAGUUUUUUACUGUUUUCUUUUCUACUCCUUGUUUUGCUCAUUGUUCAGUUAGCCUGUGCACUGCAUUUCUCCCAUUUCACAGUGGUUGUUUUUCAUUGCACAUUCACAAGUCAGUAGAGCAGAAAACAGGCAUAUACAGCUGAAAUUACUCACUUAUUAGAGUCUAGUUAAUUACUCCUCCUUUUCUGUGUUUUUUUAGUUUCAAAAAUAUACCCAUGAAAAUGUAAGACUUUUGCUGAUAUUUAUUGAAAUUAUUUUAUUAAUAUGGGAGGGUUUAUAUUUUUAAUGUAACCUGUUACUUCAAAAGAGGUAACAUGUUCUGUUUCUCCAGACUUGAUAGAUUAUAUUAGAGUCUCCAACUCAACAAGAAUAGAAAAAUAAUUAAUUGAUUUUUGGAGAAAAUGAAAAUACUAUAAACUAUAAAAUUAUAAUUAUGUCAUAACUAUUGAAUGUUACAAAGAAAAAGUUAUAUUCUAUUGUAAAGACACAGUUUAUCUUUGCAUAUUAUACCAUCAUCCAUGUACAUGUCUUAGAAGCCAUAUUGUACAUAGUGCAUCUUAUAGUUAACAUGGUCUUUCUUGGUGUAUUUAUUUUAUUACAGUACGGAAAAUGGUAAUAAUGGUUAUCAUAAAGAGCAUUUAUAUGGUAUACACAAUCCUGUUUUUACAAGCUCUGUGGAACAGUGGUAGCACAUACUGGAAAUGUUGAGGGGCUAUAUAAAUGAGGCUCAGGACUCUUCUAUGGGAGUGCAUCAUUGUUCUUCCAAGGGUGUUGGCAUUUCCAUUCAUCUGACAGAUCCUGAGCCACUUGUUUUAUGUCAGCUGUACUGUAAAUCCCAAAUGUACUAUUGAAUGUUAUGCCAUAAACUACUGUACAGAAUAUUUUGUGAUCAGGGCACUGCCUCUCAAAUACCACUGUUCAAGGCUUGGAUUAAAAUGUUUUUUUGGUUUUUUACUUUUUUACACUGGGCUUUCUACCUUACAUCACAGUAUAUGAAUUAAUUAGAUUAACAGCCUUUGCCUAGCAAUUCUCUUAAAACUGUUCAAGUUCUUAUCUUAAAUUGUUGAUUUGUGUUAAAUACAGUACGUACACGUUUACAUAAAAAUACAUUUUGUAUACCAGAGACUUUUGUAUAUACAUUUUUCUUAAAACUUCUAAGUGUUUAGUUAAGAUUUUAAUAUUGUAUAAUACUCUUCACAAAUGAAUUUACCAGCAUGAUCAGUGUUGCUGUUUGGUGCUCUUGAAUGACUACAUUGGACUAAAUUUGGAUUGUAAUGGGGUCCACAGUGUCUCUUUGUGUGUCUGAGAAGCUCAGUUGCAGUUUUGUCAGUUUUGUUUUCUCCCUCUAUUCUUUUCUUUUUUUUUUUCUUUUCCUAAUUAUUUAAUAUUUAGUGGGUUUUGCUGUAUAGACCUGAAAGGGACUUUUUGGAGAAGUUUGUUUUUAAACUUUGGGUGGGAGGGUUUGGGGGUGUGUGGGAUGCAUAAUAUAGUGAAAAAGCUAAGCUUUCUAGAGUUCAGUAGUACUCAAAAAGAGCAUGAGGGAUGUCCUAUGUUGGCAGUUUUUGGAAUGCUUUACCUUCUCUAACUUCCUUUUCUUCUUUCACACCCACUUCUGUAAUGUCCUUAAUAGUAUCACUGUGACUCUUUUGGAGGCAGUGGUAGUAUUUUUGCUAAAUAAUACUAUACUGUGAUUUACAAUAUUGAAAUUCAAGUCUGUUUAGCAAUUGGAGUUAACAUUUGUACUGUUAGAGUUAUUUCACCGAAUUUAGGCAAAUGGUUGAAUUGCUGAAUUAGUUAACAGUAGACUUUAUCAACAAGGCCAAAACUGUUACCAGUGUAAAACCUUCUGGCAGGUGAAGUAGUUAAUAUAUUGAUCUAAAAUAGUAUCUCUUCAUCUAUCAGUAUUGUUAACUUUGUUUCAGACAGGGUUCAUUUUCUUGAAGUAGAGAUAAUCCUGUACAUCAUUAUUAUAAUUUUAAAGAAAUGCUGAAAAAUGAUACCAGUCUCUAAUCUGGAAUAACCUUAAAUUUUUCAUUUUUAUGUCAUAAAUGGAAACAUUUCUAAUUGACAGUAUGUAGCAUAUGUGUAUAUGUAAUGUUCAGAAUUGCAGAUUUUUAAAAGUUUCUAUUUUUAAUUUGAGAAAAUAUUCCCAGUUCAUUUAAAUAAAACAGAUCUUGCUUAACUACCUUA